This 274-nucleotide ribosomal RNA is filed under the name uncultured bacterium. Its description in RNAcentral is "partial 16S ribosomal RNA". It matches the Rfam family "Bacterial small subunit ribosomal RNA", at positions 523 to 796 of the family's 1533-position model. The record is from RNAcentral.
AUACGGAGGGGGCUAGCGUUGUUCGGAAUUACUGGGCGUAAAGCGUACGUAGGCGGACUGAUCAGUUGGGGGUGAAAUCCCAGGGCUUAACCCUGGAACUGCCUUCAAUACUGUCAGUCUUGAGUUUGGGAGAGGUGAGUGGAAUUCCUAGUGUAGAGGUGAAAUUCAUAGAUAUUAGGCGGAACACCAGUGGCGAAGGCGGCUCACUGGCCCAUUACUGACGCUGAGGUACGAAAGCGUGGGGAGCAAACAGGAUUAGAAACCCUAGUAGUCC